This 76-nucleotide microRNA precursor is filed under the name Tursiops truncatus (common bottlenose dolphin). Its description in RNAcentral is "miRNA (ENSTTRG00000024579.1)". Lineage: Eukaryota; Metazoa; Chordata; Mammalia; Artiodactyla; Delphinidae. The record is from RNAcentral.
GGGGUCUUGUUAAAAUGCAGAAUCUGAUUAAGUAGAUCUGGGGUGAGCCCCAAGAUUCUGCAUUUCUAACAAGCUC